ACUCCUACGGGAGGCAGCAGUAGGGAAUAUUGGUCAAUGGGUGAGAGCCUGAACCAGCCAUGCCGCGUGCAGGAAGACGGCCUUCUGGGUUGUAAAACUGCUUUUACCAGGGAUAAAAAGAUCUUGCGAGAUUAAUUGAAGGUACCUGGAGAAUAAGCACCGGCUAACUACGUGCCAGCAGCCGCGGUAAUACGGAGGGUGCGAGCGUUAAUCGGAAUUACUGGGCGUAAAGCGCAUGCAGGUGGUUUGUUAAGUCAGAUGUGAAAGCCCGGGGCUUAACCUCGGAAUUGCAUUUGAAACUGGCAGGCUAGAGUCUUGUAGAGGGGGUAGAAUUUCAUGGUGNAGCGGUGAAAUGCGUAGAGAUCUGAAGGAAUACCAGUGGCGAAGGCGGCCCCUGGACCAAAGAACUGACGCUCAGAUGCGAAAGCGU
This 430-nucleotide ribosomal RNA is filed under the name uncultured bacterium. RNAcentral describes it as "bacterial SSU rRNA". It matches the Rfam family "Bacterial small subunit ribosomal RNA", at positions 335 to 762 of the family's 1533-position model. The record is from RNAcentral.